UGGGGAAUAUUGGGCAAUGGGGGAAACCCUGACCCAGCAACGCCGCGUGAGGGAAGAAGGUUUUCGGAUUGUAAACCUCUGUCCUAAAGGAAGAAAAAAAUGACGGUACUUUAGGAGGAAGCCCCGGCUAACUACGUGCCAGCAGCCGCGGUAAUACGUAGGGGGCGAGCGUUGUCCGGAAUUAUUGGGCGUAAAGGGUGCGUAGGCGGUCGCUUAAGUCAGAUGUGAAAAGCUGUGGCUCAACCAUGGGAGUGCAUUUGAAACUGGGUGACUUGAGUGCAGGAGAGGAAAGCGGAAUUCCUAGUGUAGCGGUGAAAUGCAUAGAUAUUAGGAGGAACACCAGUGGCGAAGGCGGCUUUCUGGACUGUAACUGACGCUGAGGCACGAAAGCGUGGGGAGCAAACA
Molecule: ribosomal RNA, 405 nt
Filed under: uncultured Eubacteriales bacterium
Lineage: Bacteria; Bacillati; Bacillota; Clostridia; Eubacteriales
Description: uncultured Clostridiales bacterium partial 16S ribosomal RNA
Rfam family: Bacterial small subunit ribosomal RNA
Source: RNAcentral